CUAUAUAGAUAGAAAUAUUUGUUAUUCAUAAUUUGUAGUAAAUUCAGUUUUAUGUUAUAUCAUCAUAGUUGCAGAGAUCUGUGUAAUUAAAGGUAUGAUUCUAUAAUUUUUUUUAUUAUUUAUAUACAACAAUAAUUAUUUAUAUACAACAAUAAUUAUUUAUAUACAACAAUAAUGACCAAAAAAAAAUACACAUUUAUACAACUUUCAUUCAGAAAUUGUGCACAUAUAAAAUUUCUUCUUGCAUAAUCUUCUUUGUGAACAUUUAGCCACAUCUGAGCGCUCUUAAUGAAUAGGUCAUGAAUUGAGAUCAUAUAAGUCUAGGACACAUCUACAUUUUUUGCAUGUGUGCUUAGUGCGUGUUUAUCAAACAUUUCCUAAACUUAGGAAACGUCAAAGAAUCUUCAUAUGAUUAGGACACCGUCUUAUGGUUAUAACUGAAAGAUAUAGUCUAUGGAAGAAAAAAAAACACAGACUCAAAUUCAUUUAUAUAUAUAUAUAUAUAUAUAGUGCAAAUCUGCAUAUACCAUCAUAAGAAGAACCAAUGCAAGUUUCUUGAAUUUCAUAUCAGUUCGUUUUCAUAGAUUCGACGCAAACUUUAACGAUGGAUCGUAUCUUUGUUGGUUUUAAAUUAAGUCGACUUAUCGACUUAAGAAGUAACUUCUCUAGUCGAAAAAUCCACCUGAAGUAAAGGACAUUGUAGUAUCUCCCUCUAUAAACUUUUUAUUAUUUUUUUUUUUUAUAAAUAAUAUUUAUGUUUAGUUGUAAUAUCUUCUUUUUUUUAAAUUUGAAGUUUUCGUAUUCAACCUUUAUAUUCUUAUGCAUCACAAUUCAUUUUAUUUGAAUUUUCUCUGAUAAGUCCAAUUUACUUUGGAACAAUUGAACAUUGUUUCACCCAAUAAAUGUUCAAAGGUUCAAGACAAAACCCCCGUAACAGAUGCAAAUGAUAGAAAUUUACGUUGUAGGUACCAUUUUGAAUCGCAUACAUAUGUAUAUAGCUCACAGCAUUGAUAGUAACUUUGAUAUUGUUUAAUUAAACACAAAAACACGUCCCCUAGCUAUGUACAUACAAUUGGACAGGCAGCAUAUGCUUUGAACAGAUGUUCUUUACACUGAUAUACCCGGUAUAUAAAUUGUAACUUUAUCACUCCAUUCAUUUGAUUUUUUAAUAAAAACAAAAGAUAUAUCGGCAUUUAUAAUACAGCAAUACAAACCACAGUAAGUUUUUUUUUAUAUUAUUUCCAAGAAAUAUGCCAGCUGUUGCUGUGUGAGCUAGCACUUGAAAUAUACGAUUCAAUUUGUAUGCCUAGAAAUAUAGAGUUUAUUUGUUUAACUUUUCCAUGCCAUCGUUCGGAAUAUAAUGUGUUAUUCCAUAUUGGUAUCAUAUUAGUAGGUUUCUCUAUAUGAAUUGGAUUUUGAAUAAAAAAGCUUAUCACAUAUUUGUUACGAAUACGUUGGGUUUUGCAUAUGCAAUAACCUCAAAAUUGCCCGGGGCAAAAAAGAGCAUAUUGAUAUUGUGCCCUGAUUCCAAAUGACGUCACGUCAUUGCGUCCUUAACGACACUUUUGUGAUACAAAAUUUCAGAUUUUACCUGUUAUGUUUCAUUAAAUUGUAAUAAUUGAACUUUCUGUCUCAAUUCUGCAGAAUUUAAAUAUGUGAUAAAUAGAUUAUAACAUGUCUUUUCCAUAUUGGCCCUGGUAUCAUCCCUCGACCCAUAUCGGCCCUCGGCUAAGGCCUCGAGGCGAUAUGGGAGUCUCGGGAUGAUACCAGGGCCCAUAUGAAAAGGCCAUUUAAAUAUACAUAUUCACCUGAGAAAGUGUUAUUCACCGCGCUAAACGUCACGCGCUUUUACAUGCAACGUUAUGGUUAAAUUUUUCAUGUAAAAUUUGUUUUGGUAUAUGUUAUUCAUUAAAUACAUGUUCUUCUCUCGGAAUAUGGAAUAAAACAAUUACUGUCUUUUGUUUCGGUAAAUAUGGGGUUUAAUUGACUUUUUGAAAAACUGAUAUUCACUCGGCCGUGCCUCAGUGAAUAUCAGUUUUUCAAAAGUCAAUAAAACCGCAUAUUUACCUCACCAAAAGACAGUAAUUGUAUAAUAUUUGACGUUUGACGUUAAUCAAUCAUCAAUCAAUAUUUUUACUAAAUGUAUAGAAAUAUAAUCUACAGUGUACCAAUUAAUUUUUACUUAAACUUAUGAGACUGUAAAAAUUGAAUUGAAGCGCGAGAACAAUCUGCUGCCUGAUAUUACUUAUAAAUAUUAUAAUUAUCAAUAUUAUUAUUUCUCGCUUGACGGGGGAAGUAUUUUGGCUGUCAUUCGGUUUAUGGAAAAAAAAUAUCGUGAAGAAAUAACGGUGGUCAAAUAUUGCGAUCGAAUCGUGAAAGAUUUGGUAUCGGACCGCGAAAUCAAUCAAAUACAAUUCAACUUUAAAAUCUGAUUAAAAAUCCAGAAUGUUAGCAAAAAGUAGAACAUAGUCUGUCACAAUGGUUACAUUUUAAUCAGGUUUUUUUUUUAGAGUAUUCAUCGCUCUUACAAAAGUAAGAUUGCUCAGAAUUAUUCUGAUAGAUACAAACCAUGUGAAACAGUUACUACUCUAUGAAUAAUGUAUACUACUGUUUCAAACGGCUCUUAAAAUUAUUUUGAAAACGCUAAAUCUCAAAGCUUGAAAAGAUUAGAAAUUCUAUAUGAAUUAUCUAAAUGUUUUAUUAUGAUAUAUCGAUUAUCGUAUUUUGAUGGUCGUGAAAAGAACUCAGAAAGAUGCCGCUUAUUUGCUUUUGUCAAAAUAGUUAAAAACAUUCAUAUUAUUCGAAUGAAUGUAAACAUAUGAUGAUAGGCAAUUGUAAGUUCGUAUGAGACAUAGUGCCCGGUCAUAUUAUUCUCACUGAAUAUAAAUGUUUGCGGUUAUUAUUUGGUAUCUUUCACCUCCCUUCCUGUUAAAGUAAAUCCAUAAAACGCUAAAUCAGUCAGGACUCUACUUCGUCAAAAUUAUCUCCCCAUUACGCCAGUUCAUUUUCACAAUCGUAGAAAAGGAAGCCAUUGUAGGGAUGACGUGCUGCCAAUUUUGCUCUCGGCAACCGAUAAAUUUAUCCACAUUGCACCAUUACGAUCCUUAUAUGUCAGUUGUAUUUUAAAGGGCAAAUGUAUCAACUAGCUAAUGAGCAUUAGUUAAUGAUCUUGUCUGCAUUGAUUUAACUUAAAACUAUUGUCUGAUCGGUUGUCAGGUGGAAUUUUCGAAAAUUCAUAAACUUUUAAAAAAAUUCUAAUUAAAUAUUUCCUGGAAGGGCAGACUAGAUUUUUUUAGUGGUUGAAGACUAUAAACCCUAGUUUUCACACACAAAAAAUUAUAAUUUUUCGAAGAUAUGCAUUUUCAUCAUCCAACUUGAAAGACUUUCGUCAAGUACUUUCAGUAAAAAAAUAGCUAUUCGAACACACCUACUCUGUUUUUGUGAUUCAUUAGAUAGGUAUUUCACUUGACCCAUAUAUUUCAUCUUUUAGUACUGGGAUUUUUUUAUGUUAUAAAGUCAACCUGUAGCUUUGAUAUAUAAAAAUGAUAGAAUCUGAAGCGAGACGAUGUAUGAAAUAUUAUUGCUUUGUACGAUAUCAAGACAAAAUAUUCAACUCAAACACGUCCGAACAUAAAAAGGUGCACUCGAUUUUCUCUUUUCGAUACAAUUGUUACCCAUUUUUUUGGAAUUUUUUCUUGAGUCACAUAAAGGAAGGGCAGACACGAAAAUUACUGAACUAAUAGAUUGAUAUGUUUUCCGUCCGUGGUAAAAAAUUUUAAAAAAUCGGAGGUUAUGCAUUUUCUACAUCCAACUUGAAAGAUACCCAUGUCGUCGACUUGAUAUCUAAUUGUUCUGCUUAACUAUGUACUAAAUAAAUUGAAAACUUAUGCAAAUGGUGUUUUCAAAAUAAAACACUUCAUAAUUGAGAAGAAAAUUGUAAUUUUGUUUGUUUCUAUUAACUUUUAAAAUUUUUGUCACUAUUGUAAACAUUACAGUAAGCAUUUAUCGCCUUCUCUAACAAAGAGCUUCUAUUCUUUUGUUCUAUUUCAACCUGGUUUCCGACUGAAAUGACUUCUUAAAUAUAUAACGUGCACUUAAACUUAUCAAGUAAAACCAGGCUUCAACUACACAAAUUAAAGAACAUGUAUAUAUCCAUUGGAAAAGAAAUCUAAUCUUAGUGAUUAAGUCUGGUCACGCCUUGAUAUUUCAUGACCAAUUUUGAUUAAAAAAUUAACAAAAUCGUAUAAAAAUUAAUCUGCAUCUUUUCAAGGGAAAACCUUGUACAUUUCACUGUAUCAUCUGACACACUAAAGAUAAAAGUUUCAAAUAUACCAUGACAAAAUAUACAAUGGGAUGUGACCAUUAUUAUAUUUAAAAUGAUUUCUUGAUUAGCAUUGGAUAAUGUGUCGCCUUUGGAAUUUUCUAUAACAAAAAGCAUGUUUUCUCUACCUAAGUGAAUAAUGUUAUUGAGGGGACCAUUAAUUGAACAGACUUAUUUCCAACUUUUAUAAUUCAAAUAUUUUUUUCGUGACGUUGAAUUGAAUUGCUUUCACGAUCUGGUCGAAAUAGUUGAUUACCGUUAAUUUACGACAACGUUUUCAGAUAUACCACCUGCUUUACACAAUUAUAGUAUAAGUUACAUAUUUAUGCUGCGAACAAAAAAAUCCUGUUCUUUAAGUCCUAAGUAUCCAGUAUGAGAGGAUAAAUAUUCUGACUCAUAAACUGUCUACAUUUCCAGGUCUUCCAAAGUUUCCACGACUGAAAUAUUUACAUCUUCCAUGUCUAUCAAUUUACACACGACUAAAACAUUCACAUCUCAGGUCGAUCGAAGAAUCCACGACUGAAACUACAAAUGUAUAUAUAUCUUUCAGAUCCAUCAAAUGCUCUUCAUCUUCUAACCGAGGGUUUUUGCUCGAAACUAUCAAAGUCUUUCAGUUCUAUCAAAAUAUCAAUAGAAACCUUGGAAAAGUAAAUAUUAGUAUACGUAUUGAAUACUGGGUUAUAAGACCUAAUACUAUUCUAUCAUUAUUUUGUUUUUGUUUUUUAGAAAUGGCUAUGAAGAUUAUUUUGUUUACCCUUGCUGUAACCUUCACUUACUUGAAUCUGGUAAGUUCCGAAGAAGCAACAUGCUCAACGAAAUUCGAAGGUAAAGAAGUUGAGAUUAAAUAUGGUGAUACAGUUUGGCUGAACCCCUGCCUCUUUUGUUGGUGCUAUCAAGACACUAAGGAAGCCGGAUGUAACACUGUAGACUGUCCGACAUGGAGUUGUGAUGACGGCCUCCAACUGACAUAUCUGGACGGACAAUGUUGUCCAUCUUGUCUUCCAACUGAUCAGUGAUUUUAUUUAUGUUAUAAUUGACAAGACAUUAUGACUGCAUGAAUUUGCAUUAAAAUGUUUCACCUUGUUUCACUUUCAAUAAAAUACUAUAUGAAUGAA
This 5436-nucleotide long non-coding RNA is filed under the name Mytilus galloprovincialis (Mediterranean mussel). The record is from RNAcentral. Lineage: Eukaryota; Metazoa; Mollusca; Bivalvia; Mytilida; Mytilidae.